GGUUGAAGCUCUGGUAACACAGAGUGGAGGACCGAACCGGUUGACGUUGAAAAGUCUUCGGAUGACCUGUGGGUAGGGGUGAAAGGCCAAUCAAACUGGGAGAUAGCUCGUACUCUCCGAAAUGCAUUUAGGUGCAGCGUCGUAUAUAAGUUUAUUAGAGGUAGAGCUACUGAUUGGAUGCGGGGGUUUCAUCGCCUACCAAUUCCUGACAAACUCCGAAUGCUAAUAAAUGUUCUACGGCAGUGAGGGCAUGGGUGCUAAGGUCCAUGUCCGAGAGGGAAAGAACCCAGACCAACAGCUAAGGUCCCAAAAUAUAUGUUAAGUUGAAACAACGCGGUUGGACUGCAUUGACAGCUAGGAUGUUGGCUUGGAAGCAGCCAUUCAUUUAAAGAGUGCGUAACAGCUCACUAGUCGAGCGGUCCGGCAUGGAUAAUAAUCGGGCAUAAACAUAUUACCGAAGCUAUGGAUUUGUAUUUUAGAUACAUCUGGUAGGAGAGCAUUCUAUUUGCGCCGAAGCAGUACUGUGAGGUAUUGUGGAGCGGAUAGAAAAGAAAAUGUAGGCAUAAGUAACGAUAAAGCAGGCGAGAAACCUGCUCACCGAAAGACCAAGGCUUCCUCAGCCAUGCUAAUCAGCUGAGGGUUAGUCGGGACCUAACGCGAACCCGAAAGGGGUAGUGGAUGGACAAUGGGUUAAUAUUCCCAUACUUGCUCACGAAUAAAGGGGACGGUUGGAUGUAGCUGC
This 742-nucleotide ribosomal RNA is filed under the name Chryseobacterium metallicongregator. Its description in RNAcentral is "partial 23S ribosomal RNA". It matches the Rfam family "Bacterial large subunit ribosomal RNA", at positions 743 to 1481 of the family's 2925-position model. Lineage: Bacteria; Pseudomonadati; Bacteroidota; Flavobacteriia; Flavobacteriales; Weeksellaceae. The record is from RNAcentral.